AUUGAACGCUGGCGGCAGGCCUAACACAUGCAAGUCGAGCGGAUGAAGGGAGCUUGCUCCUGGAUUCAGCGGCGGACGGGUGAGUAAUGCCUAGGAAUCUGCCUGGUAGUGGGGGAUAACGUCCGGAAACGGGCGCUAAUACCGCAUACGUCCUGAGGGAGAAAGUGGGGGAUCUUCGGACCUCACGCUAUCAGAUGAGCCUAGGUCGGAUUAGCUAGUUGGUGGGGUAAAGGCCUACCAAGGCGACGAUCCGUAACUGGUCUGAGAGGAUGAUCAGCCACACUGGAACUGGGACACGGUCCAGACUCCUACGGGAGGCAGCAGUGGGGAAUAUUAGACAAUGGGCGAAAGCCUGAUCCAGCCGUGCCGCGUGUGUGAAGAAGGUCUUCGGAUUGUAAAGCACUUUAAGUUGGGAGGAAGGGCAGUAAGUUAAUACCUUGCUGUUUUGACGUUACCAACAGAAUAAGCACCGGCUAACUUCGUG
RNAcentral lists this ribosomal RNA (484 nucleotides) under uncultured bacterium. RNAcentral describes it as "partial 16S ribosomal RNA". It matches the Rfam family "Bacterial small subunit ribosomal RNA", at positions 30 to 507 of the family's 1533-position model. The record is from RNAcentral.